AGCAGCCGCGGUAAUUCCAGCUCCAAUAGCGUAUAUUAAAGUUGUUGCAGUUAAAAAGCUCGUAGUUGAAUUUCGGGGUUCAUACGUUGGUCGGGCUUUUUGGUCUGUACUAGCGUAAUGGAUUCCUACCUUCUGAAUAACCGGCAUGCCAUUAAUUUGGUGCGCCGGGGAAGCAGGACUGUUACCUUGAAAAAUUAGAGUGCUUAAAGCAGGCUAUCGCCUGAAUACAUUAGCAUGGAAUAAUGAAAUAGGACGGCAUGGUUCUAUUUUGUUGGUUUCUAGGAUCACCGUAAUGAUUAAUAGGGAUAGUUGGGGGCAUUAGUAUUCAAUUGUCAGAGGUGAAAUUCUUGGAUUUAUUGAAGACUAACUUCUGCGAAAGCAUUUGCCAAGGAUGUUUUCAUUAAUCAAGAACGAAAGUUAGGGGAUCGAAGACGAUCAGAUACCGUCGUA
RNAcentral lists this ribosomal RNA (450 nucleotides) under uncultured Acaulospora. RNAcentral describes it as "SSU rRNA". It matches the Rfam family "Eukaryotic small subunit ribosomal RNA", at positions 569 to 1022 of the family's 1831-position model. Lineage: Eukaryota; Fungi; Glomeromycota; Glomeromycetes; Diversisporales; Acaulosporaceae. The record is from RNAcentral.